RNAcentral lists this ribosomal RNA (521 nucleotides) under uncultured bacterium. RNAcentral describes it as "bacterial SSU rRNA". It matches the Rfam family "Archaeal small subunit ribosomal RNA", at positions 345 to 866 of the family's 1478-position model. The record is from RNAcentral.
AACCUCCGCAAUGUGAGAAAUCGCGACGGGGGGAUCCCAAGUGCCAUUCUUAACGGGAUGGCUUUUCUUAAGUGUAAAAAGCUUUUGGAAUAAGAGCUGGGCAAGACCGGUGCCAGCCGCCGCGGUAACACCGGCAGCUCUAGUGGUAGCUGUUUUUAUUGGGCCUAAAGCGUUCGUAGCCGGUUUGAUAAGUCACUGGUGAAAUCCUGUAGCUUAACUGUGGGAAUUGCUGGUGAUACUGUUGAACUUGAGGUCGGGAGAGGUUAGCGGUACUCCCAGGGUAGAGGUGAAAUUCUGUAAUCCUGGGAGGACCGCCUGUUGCGAAGGCGUCUAACUGGAACGGUUCUGACGGUGAGGGACGAAAGUUAGGGGCGCGAACCGGAUUAGAUACCCGGGUAGUCCUAACCGUAAACGAUGCGGACUUGGUGUUGGGGUGGCUUUGAGCUGCUCCAGUGCCGAAGGGAAGCUGUUAAGUCCGCCGCCUGGGAAGUACGGUCGCAAGACUGAAACUUAAAGGAAGU